CCUACGGGUGGCAGCAGUGAGGAAUAUUGGUCAAUGGGCUUACGCCUGAACCAGCCAAGUCGCGUGAGGGAAGACUGCCCUAUGGGUUGUAAACCUCUUUUGUCAGGGAGCAAUUGGCGCUACGUGUAGCGUUAUCGAGAGUACCUGAAGAAAAAGCAUCGGCUAACUCCGUGCCAGCAGCCGCGGUAAUACGGAGGGGGCAAGCGUUAUCCGGAUUUACUGGGUGUAAAGGGAGCGUAGACGGCAAGGCAAGCCAGAAGUGAAAGGGCAGGGCUCAACCCUGUACAUGCUUUUGGAACUGUGGUGCUAGAGUGCAGGAGAGGUAAGUGGAAUUCCUAGUGUAGCGGUGAAAUGCGUAGAUAUUAGGAGGAACACCAGUGGCGAAGGCGGCUUACUGGACUGUAACUGACGUUGAGGCUCGAAAGCGUGGGGAGCAAACAGGAUUAGAUACCCGUGUAGUC
Molecule: ribosomal RNA, 461 nt
Filed under: uncultured bacterium
Lineage: Bacteria
Description: partial 16S ribosomal RNA
Rfam family: Bacterial small subunit ribosomal RNA
Source: RNAcentral